RNAcentral lists this ribosomal RNA (1388 nucleotides) under uncultured bacterium. RNAcentral describes it as "bacterial SSU rRNA". It matches the Rfam family "Bacterial small subunit ribosomal RNA". The record is from RNAcentral.
CGCUAGCUACAGGCUUAACACAUGCAAGUCGAGGGCAUCGGGGAGGCAGCAAUGCUUCUGCCGGCGACCGGCGAAUGGGUGAGUAACACGUAUCCAACCUGGCCCGCACUCGGGGACAGCCUUUCGAAAGAAAGAUUAAUACCCGAUGCGGCCGCGUUCCCACAUGGGAUUGCGGUCAAAGAUUCAUCGGUGCGGGAUGGGGAUGCGCCUGAUUAGGCAGUUGGCGGGGUAACGGCCCACCAAACCGACGAUCAGUAGGGGUUCUGAGGGGAAGGUCCCCCACAUUGGAACUGAGACACGGUCCAAACUCCUACGGGAGGCAGCAGUGAGGAAUAUUGGUCAAUGGGCGGAAGCCUGAACCAGCCAAGUAGCGUGCAGGACGACGGCCCUCUGGGUUGUAAACUGCUUUUGUGCGGGGGUAAAGUGACCCACGUGUGGGUUAUUGCAAGUACCGCACGAAUAAGCAUCGGCUAACUCCGUGCCAGCAGCCGCGGUAAUACGGAGGAUGCGAGCGUUAUCCGGAUUUAUUGGGUUUAAAGGGAGCGUAGGUGGCCGGUUAAGUCAGUUGUGAAAAGCAGGUGCUCAACAUCUGCCUUGCAGUUGAAACUGUCCGGCUUGAGCGUGUGAGAGGCAGGCGGAAUUCGUGGUGUAGCGGUGAAAUGCUUAGAUAUCACGAAGAACUCCGAUUGCGAAGGCAGCUUGCUGGCCCACGUCUGACACUAAUGCUCGAAAGUGCGGGUAUCGAACAGGAUUAGAUACCCUGGUAGUCCGCACAGUAAACGAUGAAUACUCGCUGUUUGCGAUAGAAUGUAAGCGGCCAAGCGAAAGCGUUAAGUAUUCCACCUGGGGAGUACGCCGGCAACGGUGAAACUCAAAGGAAUUGACGGGGGCCCGCACAAGCGGAGGAACAUGUGGUUUAAUUCGAUGAUACGCGAGGAACCUUACCCGGGCUUGAAUUGCAUACGACGUGCGCGGAGACGCGCAUUCCGCAGAGUGCGUAUGUGAAGGUGCUGCAUGGUUGUCGUCAGCUCGUGCCGUGAGGUGUCGGCUUAAGUGCCAUAACGAGCGCAACCCUCAUGGACAGUUGCCAUCAGGUUAUGCUGGGGACUCUGUUCAGACUGCCGUCGUAAGAUGCGAGGAAGGCGGGGAUGACGUCAAAUCAGCACGGCCCUUAUGUCUGGGGCUACACACGUGUUACAAUGGGGGGUACAGAGGGCCGCUGCCCGGCGACGGGCGGCCAAUCCCGAAAGCCCUUCUCAGUCCGGACUGGAGUCUGCAACCCGACUCCACGAAGCUGGAUUCGCUAGUAAUCGCGCAUCAGCCAUGGCGCGGUGAAUACGUUCCCGGGCCUUGUACACACCGCCCGUCAAGCCAUGAAAGCCGGGGGU